GCAGUCCAUGGUUGCCAGAAGCGGGGGAGCAAAGGCUCCGAGGGGGAGCAAAAGCUCCGAGGGGGAGCAAAGGCUCCGACAAACAAGGAAGACAGGCUUGUCUAUUCAUAGGGGAUGAUGAUCUCCUCCAGGAGACCUCCAAACAGCUGCACGCUAGGCACCAUUUGUUAACAACGGGGGCUGAGGGUACCUGGAAGAGAAUGGGGGGACAAGAGACUUGAAGAAGGAUGCCAAGACAAGAGUCUGAUCAAGGCUUUCGCCCGAUUCUCGGUACAGUGUCGGUGCUGGCGCCGACAAAUGGAGGUCCCACCGAGAUCGGAGAAGAAAGGGGUACCACCUACAGGACGUCCUUGGAGCCCGGCCGGCAUAGGAGAAGGGACGGAUUGGGGUAAGAUGGGCCAGAAAAGGCCUGGAUGAUUUGGGCUAGCCUCAGUAAAUCUUGUCAUAAAAAAGGGACAAGGUAACGGUAAAGUGUUUUUGCAUAUGCGUUCUGUUAGAGUUAUAUUUUAGUCUUUGGACCCUGACUAGAGAUAGUUUACACCCUAGACAUGAGAGAGAAUGGGUUUGGGAAAAACAGUCCUCCCGGACUCUCUGAGGUUGCUUUGGAGAAAGAGAAAAACCUUUUCAGAGCUCUCCUAGGAACAGAGGGAAAGCAGGAGACAUCCUGCCUCUCUGCUGGCUCCUAUUGGAGAAAUGCUUAUUUCUGGUUCUGGGUUCCAUAGGUAGGAUAUGUGAGUCCCUUCGGUGGGACACCAUCUAGUUUUUUCCCUUUAUGUCUAUUGUCUGUCCUUGGUGCACCAAGCUGUCCAUGUCUGUCAGUUUAUAUCUGUGGUUUUUGUUUCUCUUGUUUAAAUGUUUUAUGUUUCAUGUUCAAAAGAAAAAAAUGGUAAAAACUUUAUCUGUCAAUCGUUCACAUCUUGAUUUGGUUUUAACUCGUUUCAAAAAGGAAAAAAUGAAUAAAAAGCAGUUUCAAUCGGCCUUUAGAGCCCUGCACCUGUAGCUAGGAGCAUAGGUCCGCUGGAGAAGCUGCCCGGGGUGAGCAUCUACAUGAGCUGAUCUUAAAGGCGCCAGCAGCUCCUCAGCUUCUAUGUUAAGGGAGCAGAUGGUUGUUUCUCUUAGAAAAACCCCUGACUUAUUCUUAGCAGGUGACAAGGUGCAUCUCUUAAUAUUACAGCUAGAAAAAGUAAAAAUGGUGCUUGGUCUAAAUAUUGAAGAUAUGUGUAGCCACUUCAAUUUUGUUUCUUAUUGGUUUUAAAUGUAUAAAUAUGCUCUACAUGCCUUGGUUAUGGACUAUUGGCUUUUAAGUUAUAGGAUAUGGUUAAAAAGGUAUAAUGUCAGUAACAAAAAGUUGACAUAAAGCUGCUAAUUUGGAUAAAGUCAUUCUAGACAACAUGCAGCCUGAGCCAACCUAGGGAAAUAGGUCUAAAUUGAGAAAAUAUUUUUAUGGAACUCUUAUUCUAGAAACCAGGCUUCUAAAAGAAUUUAGGACAAUGUCUCUUUGUUGAGGUAUUGGAGACUGCACCAUCGUGCAUUCAUAUGUAGGAAUUGGCAGUCAAACUUUGUAGCAUGAAGGAUAGACUCGGUGUUUUGGAGACUGGAUUUUGGAGACUAGAUUGUUAGAGGUUGAGUUUUGCUUUCUAAAGUUGUGGUUUGCCCUGAAGUUAUCUGUAUUUUAAUGCUAAUUCCACUGCCCCAAGGACAGCUGCCUAGUCACGUACUCAGAGCUCUGGUGACUUCCCAAAGUUGUGGUUGUGCUCUGGUGUUUCAAGGAGAAUUUAAGGAUUGUGAUUAAGGAUUGCCAGUGUUACAUUGACUAACUCAAACUUAUUUAUAAUUGAGAAAAAAAAUCAAACAGGUAGAGAUUGUUACAAGAUUUACGAAGGAUUGAUGAGGUUUUAGAACUUGUGAGAGCAUUACAGCCUGUUUGCUUACUUCAACCGCCAUUUCAAGAUAGAUUUAGAGGAUUGCUAACAGCCUUGUAUUAUGUAAUUUUGUCGCUUCUUCAAUGUAAAAAGUUAGAACUUUAAAUCUUUCAGUGUAUAUGGAAAUUUUUACUACAAAUCUUUGCUCUCAAAAUGAGCUUUAAUAUUUGGGGAAUAGCUGUUACACUACUCCAGAAAAGAAUAUUUAAAACUAAUUUUAAGCUUCUAAGGAUAUGUUAAUUGCCAAAGUACCUCACCUUACCAGAGGACUUAACUUUGUUUUCCUCAUUGGAGAUAAAGCUUCAGUUGUGUUAAUACAGAAUUGUAGGCUAGAGUCAUGGAAGUAUUUUAAAAAGAAACCUGGUGAAACAUACCUUAUUCCAAACAUCAAUCAAAUUGGUUAUUACAAAAUACUGAUAUUUGGCCUAUCACUUAUACAAAUUUUUCAGGCAAAAUUGAUAAUUUUACUCUUUGCAUGCUUUUGGAUUUACUGUAAAUUUGUUCAUGCAACCCAUAGAAAAUGCGCUUACUGUAUUUAUAGGUGUCUCAUCUAAUGAAAAGGCUACAUUUAUGAUUGGAUCACUUGUUUAUUCUCUUGAGUUUCCACUGCUUCAGCACAGAUUAUUAGAUUACGUCCUGUAGCCACUGUUUUUAAAUGUUAAAAAAUCAAGCUUUCAAUUCAUAUACAGAUAGCCAAUGUGUGGCUUGUGGUUUACAAUUGAUUUCAAUUACUUAAUACUUUACUAGAGGCAAGUUUUCUACAUGAAAUCAGUGAGUGAUGAUUUCAGUGUAAAUUGUCUGACAACUCACUGUCCUUUCAGUGCUCUGGCUCAGAGAACUAAACAAAACCAUAGACCUAGCUCUUUGAAAAUGGUAAUGGAGUUGAUAACACACCUUCAUGAAAAGAGGAAGACUCCAUUUGCUUACUUUCAAUGCCCAGCCUCACCCUGCCAACUCAGGGAUUUCUAAAUAAGGCUAAAUCUGGACCUUGUUUACAGUAUUUGACAUUUCUAAUUAAUGCUUAUGUUUAGGCAAAUAAAGCUGGUGAGGGGCUGGAGAGAUGGCUUAGUGGUUAAGAGCACUAAGUACUGUUCCUUUAUAGGCCAUUUAAGAACUCAAACUGGAUUGCCUGGACCCCUUAGCAAGGGAGGACAAUGAUACCAGGCAGAUUAUAGGCCUUACAUAGAAACAAUUAGUCAAAAAAUCUCAUUCUUUAUAUCACCAAAACAAUAAUUUGGUAAACAAGUCAAUUUAUAAAUACUCAGUGUCCUCAAUUUAAUCCUCGAGGACUUAUCUUAAUAAAUAAUAUUUUAACAAAAUUUCAAUAAAUAAAAAGGGGGAGUUAUCCCUGUAUGCUAAAUAAUACUCUUUUUAUUUCAAUUUUAAAAGUUGAAUGCCAAGGUUUAUGGCACCCUACAACUAGGCAUACUUCUGCCUAGGUGAAAUAGAAAGAUCCACAUAUUGGCAUGAUCCUGUCCAGGUAUUUUAUAUGGGGAAGAGGGAAUCUUUGUGUUUUUUCUACAGGAUGCUACAGGAGUGUGCCAGCUGCCUGAGUGGCUGGUGAGACAUGCUGAUCCUGGGAGCAUGAAGAUUCAGCUCUCAUGGUUCAGGUUCCUGGAGUCAUUCCUGUGCCCUUAGAGGAAGACGGAGGAUUCCCCCUCAUCUUUUGUCAUCACAGAAAUUCUGGCAUUGCUGCAGUCAUUGUGUCCCAUCCCACUGCGGCCUGCGCUCCAACCCUCUGUGCACUGCUGACUGCUGGAGAAGACUGGACUCCAGCUGUUACCCCUGCCCCCCUCAUUCCCCUGGUGACUCUUGCUGCCUUGACUGGUGUUGUUAUCUUGCAGUCUGUAGCUUCACAGGAAUGCCAUCUGUGUGAAGCUGCUGUGGACUGGGGAACUCUGCCCUGGUUGUGCAGAUCUCAGAAAUGGUUCCAUUGUCUGCUGGUUGUUCCAGAGAAGAAUGACCGAUCCUGAACUGUCCUGGGAAAGACCUUGGCAUUUUCGCUGCUAUUGUAGCAGCCAUUACUGCUGCAGCCAUUGUGUCUGCAGUGUCUGGAGUUACCCUCCCCCAAUCUAUUGUUAGGCAAGCACAGUGGGUGAACUUUCUGGAGUAGUUGCUAACAAUUGGGAAUUCUAAAUUUUAUUAUAGGAGCAGCUUGACUACGGCCCUUGGUGGUAGCAGCUGAGGAGAACCAGAUGAGGUGCCCACUACUUAUCGGGAGAGGCUCAACUUCCACAAUCUCUUAAAUUAAUGCCAUCUGGCCCCUGCUCUUUCGCCCCUGGGGUAAAGUAAGAGGAAUGAGAGGAUGAUCCAAUGUAGCUAUCCUCAGGGAUGGGCAACUUCCUCUGACCCUUGACCAAUCUAAGACAGGAACCUUGGGGGCGACAAGGUGAUCCUAUGACAGAUAAGGCUGGGGUUUGAGAGGUCGAUCCUAAAACAGAGGUGGCUACAUCCCAUUUAAAUGUACGGGCCGGUCAAAUGCUCCUCUGCCCAGUUUCUCCCUCAAUAAACACACACGUAUAGCCCAGAACGGUGUGUUACAGCAUAAGUUCAUUCAUAGCCAUUGGGUUGCAGUCCUAACUGCAAGAGUGGCUCGCCAUGGCCGAGCUGGGCACUCUGUGAGGCAUGUCUGAUCUCUCUCAGACCACUACUUCCACCUAUUGGUCUUUUAUAAAAGAAUAACGGGGGAGAUGCAGUGAGCCAUAUUGGAUUUGGGCCUGGCUGCUUUGUAACUGCAUGGCCACAGUAAAAGUCAUGGGAUUGUUGGACAGAGGCCUCUCCCAUGUGUUUACGACACAGGAAGAAAAGACCAAGUAGUAAACACCCGGUGUCUCCACUGCAUGACCUCUGCUGAGCCCGGCUGAUGCAUGUGGAACCGACACACCUGGACCACACCUGGGUGGUGGUCAAUUUACUUCUGCCUUUUGCUUCCUCAGCCUUUAUCCUUGAGAUUUAGGCUGAUCUUCUUGGAUUUCUCCCUAAUUAAUUCAGGUCUCCUAGUCGGUCUUUUGUUACCGAAGUCACGAGCCAGGUAGUCACGAGCCAGGGUUUCCCACUGUGCUUCCCAGUUAUUUUCUACCUGGAGACUUGGGUAUAUAAGUGGUGAAUAAAGCUACAGGAGAUUCUCACUCUUCUUCCUCACUCUCGCUCUUCCACUCUUCCUCUCUCUCUCUCUCUCUCUCUCUCUCUCUCUCUCUCUCUAUCUCUCUUCCUCUCUCUUCCUCUCCUGGCUUGACAUGAUUAAAAAAAAAAGAAGGAGCCAGGAGAGAGGGUGCUGAACCCUGAGAGUGGGAACUAGUCGUACCUAUUUUUUUUCUUUUUUUACUGCAGCAGUGUAGCCAGACUUCUUCCAAUCCUUCAGAAUGAUUAUCCAAGGCUCUUCUUUCUUAGACCUUUAUUUUAGCUCCCAGGCAAUAGAAUCUCACAUUAGGAGAGAUGUCAUAUGUAUUUUAUGGCUUACUUUCCUAUAAGCUGUCUAACUCAGAGAUCACACUAUAUCCUAUGUCUAAGUCUACAUGUAGUCAGCCCUUAUGCUUUAUAUUGUAGUUGGAACAAUUACUGCCUGAUAACUUUCCAAAUUUUAUUGGGGCAAAAUAUUCUUGCAACCAGUCAAAUGGCCUCAAGCUUCCAAAGUUUGAUCCAGACCUAAUACAUUAGGCUGGAAUGGUUUUACAUUCUUAUCUCUUUCUAGAUUGUUUAUCUUCCAGAAAUGAUGUUUAGGGUCUGUUGUAAUUACUGCAUCUUAAGUGUAAAUCAGUUAUAUUGCUUUGAUUUGUACUCUAAUGCAUAGCAAAUGUGGUAACAAUAACAUCACCACAUACAUUUUGGUAUGUGUUGCCAAAUGACACCACAAAAUUUGUUGUUGUUGUUUAUUUCUUGCCUUAGUGAAGGAUUUGUAGAAAACUUCCUUCAAUUGCUUAAUAAUGUGCUUCUUUAUAAUAGUAUUCCAUUGCAUAUAUGAACCAUAUUUUCUAUAUCUAUUAUUUGGUUCAGGGACAUCAGUGUUUCUUCAAGUUUCUGGCUAUUACAAAUAAAGUUGUUGUGAACAUAGUGAAGCAUGA
Rattus norvegicus (Norway rat) is the source of this 5983-nucleotide non-coding RNA. Lineage: Eukaryota; Metazoa; Chordata; Mammalia; Rodentia; Muridae. The record is from RefSeq and is a predicted model, not a curated record.